CGCGAGCUGGGUUUAGAACGUCGUGAGACAGUUCGGUCCCUAUCUGCCGUGGGCGCUGGAGAAUUGAGGGGGGCUGCUCCUAGUACGAGAGGACCGGAGUGGACGCAUCACUGGUGUUCGGGUUGUCAUGCCAAUGGCACUGCCCGGUAGCUAAAUGCGGAAGAGAUAAGUGCUGAAAGCAUCUAAGCACGAAACUUGCCCCGAGAUGAGUUCUCCCUGAGACUUUAAGUCUCCUGAAGGAACGUUAAAGACGAUGACGUUGAUAGGCCGGGUGUGUAAGCGCAGCGAUGCGUUGAGCUAACCGGUACUAAUGAACCGUGAGGCUUAACCUU
Molecule: ribosomal RNA, 332 nt
Filed under: Klebsiella pneumoniae IS10
Lineage: Bacteria; Pseudomonadati; Pseudomonadota; Gammaproteobacteria; Enterobacterales; Enterobacteriaceae
Also listed under: 1 other name
Description: LSU rRNA
Rfam family: Bacterial large subunit ribosomal RNA
Source: RNAcentral